AGGUGAUAGGCAGCCGGUGUAAGUGCCGUAAGGCAUUUAGCCUAGCUGUACUAAUCGAUCGAUCGA
This 66-nucleotide ribosomal RNA is filed under the name Candidatus Beckwithbacteria bacterium. RNAcentral's name for it is "partial 23S ribosomal RNA". Lineage: Bacteria; Candidatus Beckwithiibacteriota. The record is from RNAcentral.